This 213-nucleotide non-coding RNA is filed under the name Oscillospiraceae bacterium. RNAcentral's name for it is "6S RNA". It matches the Rfam family "6S / SsrS RNA". Rfam says of the family: E. coli 6S RNA was the first non coding RNA to be sequenced, but its function was unknown until recently. It consists of 184 nucleotides that fold into an extended hairpin structure with a large single-stranded internal bulge. The record is from RNAcentral. Lineage: Bacteria; Bacillati; Bacillota; Clostridia; Eubacteriales; Oscillospiraceae.
AAAUGACUGCCUUGUUCGGGUAAGUAUAGUUAUUAUAAUCCUACACUUAUUUUCAGGGAAUCUGAUGCUCUGACUGAGGAUUGCAGACCUCCCGUUUCCGGUGGAGUGAUCUCAGCCGGAUUCGGACGUUGGGAGCGAGAGACUUUCAGGCGGAUACCCACCUUGCGGCAACGCUAGGUUUUAUUCUCUAUACGACGGCAAGGCGGUUUUUUU